This 495-nucleotide ribosomal RNA is filed under the name uncultured bacterium. RNAcentral describes it as "partial 16S ribosomal RNA". It matches the Rfam family "Bacterial small subunit ribosomal RNA", at positions 28 to 507 of the family's 1533-position model. The record is from RNAcentral.
GACGAGCGCUGGCGGCGUGCCUAAUACAUGCAAGUAGAACGCUGAAGGAGGAGCUUGCUUCUCUGGAUGAGUUGCGAACGGGUGAGUAACGCGUAGGUAACCUGCCUGGUAGCGGGGGAUAACUAUUGGAAACGAUAGCUAAUACCGCAUAAGAGUAGAUGUUGCAUGACAUUUGCUUAAAAGGUGCAAUUGCAUCACUACCAGAUGGACCUGCGUUGUAUUAGCUAGUUGGUGGGGUAACGGCUUACCAAGGCGACGAUACAUAGCCGACCUGAGAGGGUGAUCGGCCACACUGGGACUGAGACACGGCCCAGACUCCUACGGGAGGCAGCAGUAGGGAAUCUUCGGCAAUGGACGGAAGUCUGACCGAGCAACGCCGCGUGAGUGAAGAAGGUUUUCGGAUCGUAAAGCUCUGUUGUAAGAGAAGAACGAGUGUGAGAGUGGAAAGUUCACACUGUGACGGUAUCUUACCAGAAAGGGACGGCUAACUACGUG